AUUGAACGCUGGCGGCAUGCCUAACACAUGCAAGUCGAGCGGAGCGGCGGACGGGUGAGUAAUGCCUAGGAAUCUGCCUGGUAGUGGGGGAUAACGUCCGGAAACGGGCGCUAAUACCGCAUACUCUUUGAUGAGCCUAGGUCGGAUUAGCUAGUUGGUGUGGUAAAGGCCUACCAAGGCGACGAUCCGUAACUGGUCUUAGAGGAUGAUCAGUCACACUGGAACUGAGACACGGUCCAAACUCCUACGGGAGGCAGCAGUAGGGAAUAUUGGACAAUGGGCGAAAGCCUGAUGCAGCCAGGCCGCGUGUGUGAAGAAGGUCUUCGGAUUGUAAAGCACUUUAGGUUGGGAGGCGUUACCAACAGAAUAAGCACCGGCUAACUUCGUGCCAGCAGCCGCGGUAAUAC
RNAcentral lists this ribosomal RNA (407 nucleotides) under uncultured bacterium. Its description in RNAcentral is "partial 16S ribosomal RNA". It matches the Rfam family "Bacterial small subunit ribosomal RNA", at positions 30 to 526 of the family's 1533-position model. The record is from RNAcentral.